GACGAACGCUGGCGGCGUGCUUAACACAUGCAAGUCGAACGGAAAGGCCCUGCUUUUGUGGGGUGCUCGAGUGGCGAACGGGUGAGUAACACGUGAGUAACCUGCCCUUGUCUUUGGGAUAACUUCAGGAAACUGGGGCUAAUACCGGAUAGGAGCUCCUGCUGCAUGGUGGGGGUUGGAAAGUUUCGGCGGUUGGGGAUGGACUCGCGGCUUAUCAGCUUGUUGGUGGGGUAGUGGCUUACCAAGGCUUUGACGGGUAGCCGGCCUGAGAGGGUGACCGGCCACAUUGCGACUACGAGACGGCCCAGACUCCUACGGGAGGCAGCAGUGGGGAAUAUUGCACAAUGGGCGGAAGCCUGAUGCGGCAACGCCGCGUGCGGGAUGACGGCCUUCGGGUUGUAAACCGCUUUCGCCUGUGACGAAGCGUGAGUGACGGUAAUGGGUAAAGAAGCACCGGCUAACUACGUG
RNAcentral lists this ribosomal RNA (468 nucleotides) under uncultured bacterium. Its description in RNAcentral is "partial 16S ribosomal RNA". It matches the Rfam family "Bacterial small subunit ribosomal RNA", at positions 28 to 507 of the family's 1533-position model. The record is from RNAcentral.